RNAcentral lists this ribosomal RNA (521 nucleotides) under uncultured bacterium. RNAcentral describes it as "bacterial SSU rRNA". It matches the Rfam family "Archaeal small subunit ribosomal RNA", at positions 345 to 866 of the family's 1478-position model. The record is from RNAcentral.
AACCUCCGCAAUGUGAGAAAUCGCGACGGGGGGAUCCCAAGUGCCAUUCUUAACGGGAUGGCUUUUCAUUGGUGUAAAGAGCUUUUGGAAUAAGAGCUGGGCAAGACCGGUGCCAGCCGCCGCGGUAACACCGGCAGCUCUAGUGGUAACAAUUUUUAUUGGGCCUAAAGCGUCCGUAGCCGGUUUAAUAAGUCUCUGGUGAAAUCCUGUAGCUUAACUGUGGGAAUUGCUGGAGAUACUAUUAGACUUGAGACCGGGAGAGGUUAGAGGUACUCCCAGGGUAGAGGUGAAAUUCUGUAAUCCUGGGAGGACCGCCUGUUGCGAAGGCGUCUAACUGGAACGGUUCUGACGGUGAGGGACGAAAGUUAGGGGCGCGAACCGGAUUAGAUACCCGGGUAGUCCUAACUGUAAACGAUGCGGACUUGGUGUUGGGGUGGCUUUGAGCUGCUCCAGUGCCGAAGGGAAGCUGUUAAGUCCGCCGCCUGGGAAGUACGGUCGCAAGACUGAAACUUAAAGGAAUU